RNAcentral lists this transfer RNA (75 nucleotides) under Palisada intermedia. Its description in RNAcentral is "tRNA-Arg". It matches the Rfam family "tRNA". From Rfam's summary of the family: Transfer RNA (tRNA) molecules are approximately 80 nucleotides in length. The record is from RNAcentral. Lineage: Eukaryota; Rhodophyta; Florideophyceae; Ceramiales; Rhodomelaceae.
ACGUUUUUAGUUUAAAAUAGGAAAAAACAUUAGUCUUCUAAAUUAAAUAUGAAGGUUCGAGUCCUUCAAAACGUG